Molecule: long non-coding RNA, 413 nt
Filed under: Elaeis guineensis (African oil palm)
Lineage: Eukaryota; Viridiplantae; Streptophyta; Magnoliopsida; Arecales; Arecaceae
Description: long non-coding RNA (EGUI_LNC057828)
Source: RNAcentral
GCCGACUCUUACCCUUCUUCUUCUUUCUCCCACUAAAUGAAAGCUCUCCCUCUCUUCUCUCUUAAAUCGAAGGUUUCUCUCAAAAUCCCUCUUCCCACCAAUCUUCACCCUUAAAUUGUCCAUUAAGGAACCAACUUCCACUCCUCUUUCUUCCUCGUUUGGGUGGUUCGAGCUUGCCCUAGAUUCAACUCCUUUUUUCCAAAUCGGUAAUUUACCUCCCCAAAAUUCUUAUUUUUUCUUUUAAAAUCCUUUCCUCUCUACCUCUCAUUUAGUCUCCUAAGCUCCUAGCAAGUCUCUUUUGUCCAAAUGGCUCCCAAAAUGAAGCUACCGCAAAGAAGAAAAUCUGUUCGCGGGUUGAAAGAGAGUAUGCACAGAAAAAGAAUGGCAGCUAAGCCCUCUCCUGCUCUAAUCCC